This 343-nucleotide unclassified non-coding RNA is filed under the name soil metagenome. Its description in RNAcentral is "partial contains 5.8S ribosomal RNA, internal transcribed spacer 2, and large subunit ribosomal RNA". The stretch from base 1 to 120 matches the Rfam family "5.8S ribosomal RNA", at positions 35 to 154 of the family's 154-position model. The record is from RNAcentral.
GAUGAAGAACGCAGCGAAAUGCGAUAAGUAGUGUGAAUUGCAGAAUUCAGUGAAUCAUCGAGUUUUUGAACGCAUAUUGCGCCCUCUGGUAUUCCGGGGGGCAUGCCUGUUCGAGCGUCAUUAAAUAACCCUCAAGCAUAGCUUGGUGUUGGGCUUUUUUACGUCCUUGACUGGGAUGGGCCUAAAAAUUAGUGGCGAUGGCUUUUUUACUUUCAAGCGUAGUAAAUCUCGUCUUGCUAAAGAGGAAAAAGAUUUUUUUUCUGCCAAAAAUUUUAACAUUUAAAGUUGACCUCGGAUCAGGUAGGAUUACCCGCUGAACUUAAGCAUAUCAAUAAGCGGAGGA